CCUACGGGAGGCAGCAGUGGGGAAUAUUGCACAAUGUGGGAAACCCUUAUGCAGCGACGCCGCGUGAGCGAUGAAGUAUUUCGGUAUGUAAAGCUCUAUCAGCAGGGACGAAGAUGACGGUACCUGACUAAGAAGCCCCGGCUAACUACGAGCCAGCAGCCGCGGUACUACGUAGGGGGCAGGCGUGAUCCGGAUGUACUGGGUGUAAAGGGAGCGUAGACGGCGAUGCAAGCCAGAUGGGAAAGCCCGGGGCUCAACCCCGGGACUGCCUUUGGAAGUGUGUGGCUGGAGUGUCGGAGAGGCAGGCGGAAUUCCUAGUGUAGCGGUGAAAUGCGUAGAUAUUAGGAGGAACACCAGUGGCGAAGGCGGCCUGCUGGACGAUGACUGACGUUGAGGCUCGAAAGCGUGGGGAGCAAACAGGAUUAGAUACCCCUGUAGUC
Molecule: ribosomal RNA, 440 nt
Filed under: uncultured bacterium
Lineage: Bacteria
Description: partial 16S ribosomal RNA
Rfam family: Bacterial small subunit ribosomal RNA
Source: RNAcentral